Molecule: ribosomal RNA, 796 nt
Filed under: uncultured organism
Description: bacterial SSU rRNA
Rfam family: Bacterial small subunit ribosomal RNA
Source: RNAcentral
GGUAAAGCGGCGCACGGGUGAGUAACACGUAGGUCAUCUACCCUCGAGUGGGGGACAACCCUCCGAAAGGAGGGCUAAUACCGCAUAACGCCGGCAACGGCCAAAGCGGGCCUCUCCACGGAAGCUCGCGCUUGAGGAUGAGCCUGCGGCCCAUCAGCUUGUUGGUAAGGUAACGGCUUACCAAGGCAGAGACGGGUAGCUGGUCUGAGAGGAUGAGCAGCCACACUGGAACUGAGACACGGUCCAGACUCCUACGGGAGGCAGCAGUAGGGAAUCUUGCGCAAUGGGCGAAAGCCUGACGCAGCGACGCCGCGUGAGCGAUGAAGGCCUUCGGGUUGUAAAGCUCUGUGGGGAGGGAAGAAUAAGGGCAGGUUAAUAUCCUGUCUGAUGACGGUACCUCCUUAGCAAGCACCGGCUAACUCUGUGCCAGCAGCCGCGGUAAGACAGAGGGUGCAAACGUUGUUCGGAAUCACUGGGCGUAAAGCGCGUGUAGGCUGCCAUGCAAGUCGGAUGUGAAAGCCCUCGGCUCAACCGAGGAAGAGCACCCGAAACUGCGUGGCUAGAGUCUCGGAGAGGAAGGUGGAAUGCUUGGUGUACAGGUGAAAUUCGUAGAUAUCAAGCGGAACACCGGUGGCGAAGGCGGCCUUCUGGACGAUGACUGACGCUGAGACGCGAAAGCGUGGGGAGCAAACAGGAUUAGAUACCCUGGUAGUCCACGCCGUAAACGAUGAGUGCUAGGUGUCAGGGGCUUUGACCCUCUUGGUGCCGAAGCUAACGCGUUAAGCACUCCGCCUGG